RNAcentral lists this unclassified non-coding RNA (194 nucleotides) under plant metagenome. RNAcentral describes it as "partial contains small subunit ribosomal RNA, internal transcribed spacer 1, and 5.8S ribosomal RNA". The record is from RNAcentral.
UUUCCGUAGGUGAACCUGCGGAAGGAUCAUUACAGAGUUCAUGCCCGAAAGGGUAUACCUCCCACCCUUGUGUAUUAUUACUUUGUUGCUUUGGCGAGCGCAAGCUCGCCAGCGAAUACCAAAACUCUCUUUAUUAAUGUCGUCUGAGUACUAUCUAAUAGUUAAAACUUUCAACAACGGAUCUCUUGGUUCUG